UACGAAGGGUGCAAGCGUUACGCGGAAUUACUGGGCGUAAAGCGUGCGUAGGUGGUUCGUUAAGUCUGAUGUGAAAGCCCUGGGCUCAACCUGGGAAUGGCAUUGGAAACUGGCGACCUAGAGUGCGGUAGAGGGCAGUGGAAUUCCCGGUGUAGCAGUGAAAUGCGUAGAGAUCGGGAGGAACAUCUGUGGCGAAGGCGACUGCCUGGACCAGCACUGACACUGAGGCACGAAAGCGUGGGGAGCAAACAGG
This 253-nucleotide ribosomal RNA is filed under the name uncultured bacterium. Its description in RNAcentral is "partial 16S ribosomal RNA". It matches the Rfam family "Bacterial small subunit ribosomal RNA", at positions 524 to 776 of the family's 1533-position model. The record is from RNAcentral.